This 792-nucleotide ribosomal RNA is filed under the name uncultured marine bacterium. Its description in RNAcentral is "bacterial SSU rRNA". It matches the Rfam family "Bacterial small subunit ribosomal RNA", at positions 9 to 795 of the family's 1533-position model. The record is from RNAcentral.
GAGUUUGAUCCUGGCUCAGAUUGAACGCUGGCGGCAUGCCUUACACAUGCAAGUCGAACGGUAACAGGUCUUCGGACGCUGACGAGUGGCGAACGGGUGAGUAAUACAUCGGAACGUGCCCAGUCGUGGGGGAUAACUACUCGAAAAGAGUAGCUAAUACCGCAUACGAUCUGAGGAUGAAAGCGGGGGACCUUCGGGCCUCGCGCGAUUGGAGCGGCCGAUGGCAGAUUAGGUAGUUGGUGGGAUAAAAGCUUACCCAAGCCGACGAUCUGUAGCUGGUCUGAGAGGACGACCAGCCACACUGGGACUGAGACACGGCCCCAGACUCCUACGGGAGGCAGCAGUGGGGAAUUUUGGACAAUGGGCGAAAGCCUGAUCCAGCAAUGCCGCGUGCAGGAUGAGGGCCUUCGGGUUGUAAACUGCUUUUGUACGGAACGAAAAAGCUUCUCCUAAUACGAGAGGCCCAUGACGGUACCGUAAGAAUAAGCACCGGCUAACUACGUGCCAGCAGCCGCGGUAAUACGUAGGGUGCGAGCGUUAAUCGGAAUUACUGGGCGUAAAGCGUGCGCAGGCGGUUAUGUAAGACAGAUGUGAAAUCCCCGGGCUCAACCUGGGAACUGCAUUUGUGACUGCAUGGCUAGAGUACGGUAGAGGGGGAUGGAAUUCCGCGUGUAGNCAUGAAAUGCGUAGAUAUGCGGAGGAACACCGAUGGCGAAGGCAAUCCCNNGGACCUGUACUGACGCUCAUGCACGAAAGCGUGGGGAGCAAACAGGAUUAGAUACCCUGGUAGUC